Molecule: ribosomal RNA, 1499 nt
Filed under: seawater metagenome
Description: bacterial LSU rRNA
Rfam family: Bacterial large subunit ribosomal RNA
Source: RNAcentral
AGGUUGGCUUAGAAGCAGCCACCCUUGAAAGAGUGCGUAAUAGCUCACUGGUCGAUGUGUUGCGGCGCCGACAAUCCACCGGGGCUCAAGCAUACUACCGAAGCUACGGAAUCUUUAAGAUUGGUAGGGGAGCGUCGUAGUCAGCAGUGAAGGUGGUCCGGAAGGAUAGCUGGAGCGGCUACGAGUGAGAAUGUUGGCAUGAGUAGCGCGAGGAAGGUGCGAAUCCUUCCCACCGAAUGCCCGAGGGUUCCGUCGCGAUGCUGAUCAUCGACGGGUUAGGCGGGCCUAAGCCGAGGUCGGAAGACGUAGGCGAUGGACAGCAGGUUAAUAUUCCUGCCCCGUGCAAGUGCGUUUGAGCGAUGGGGGGACGCAGGGAGCUAGGUCCGGGGGUCUAUACGACCCUCUAACGUGGUAGGGAGUUCCGAUAGGCAAAUCCGUUGGAACGAUGACCGAGAGCGGAGUGGAAGGUGCGGCCUGCGGGCCAAGCCGGACGGAUUGAUGCUGCACUGACGAGAAAAGCCUCUAGCGAGUAGUUGUGCGCCCGUACCGCAAACCGACACAGGUGGGCUGGUAGAGAAUACCGAGGUGGACGAGAGAACCCUUGUUAAGGAACUCGGCAAAUUAGCUCCGUAACUUCGGGAGAAGGAGCGCCCCGGUAGUGUGAAGCGCUUGCGCGUGGAGCAUGAGGGGGCCGCAGUGACCAGGCCCAGGCGACUGUUUAUCAAAAACACCGGUCCCUGCAAACGCGAAUGAGCGUGGACGUAUAGGGGCUGAGACCUGCCCAGUGCCGGAAGGUUAAAGGGAGGGGUUCACGCCUCGAACUGAAGCCCCGGUAAACGGCGGCCGUAACUAUAACGGUCCUAAGGUAGCGAAAUUCCUUGUCGGGUAAGUUCCGACCCGCACGAAAGGUAGAACGAUCUGGGCGCUGUCUCGGCGGGGGACUCGGCGAAAUUGGAGUACCGGUGAAGAUACCGGUGACCCGCGGCAGGACAAAAAGACCCCGUGGAGCUUUACUCCAACUUGUCGUUGGGCGAGAGUGCGAGCUGUGUAGGAUAGGUGGGAGCCGGAGAGCCCGUGCCGCCAGGUGCGGGGGAGGCGACGUUGAAAUACCACCCUGCUGGCGCUUUUGUUCUCACCCGACUAUCUGAUCGAUAGCGGGGACCGCGGCUGGUGGGGAGUUUGACUGGGGCGGUCGCCUCCUAAAUGGUAACGGAGGCGCCCAAUGGUUCCCUCAGGCCGGAUGGCAAUCGGCCGGAGCGCGUAAGGGCAGCAAGGGAGCUUGACUGCGAGGCGGACGUGCCGAGCAGGGACGAAAGUCGGGCCUAGUGAUCCCACGGUUCCGAGUGGAAGGGCCGUGGCUUAACGGAUAAAAGCUACCCCGGGGAUAACAGGCUGAUCCUUCCCAAGAGUCCACAUCGCCGGAAGGGUUUGGCACCUCGAUGUCGGCUCGUCGCAUCCUGGGGCCGGAGAAGGUCCCAAGGGUUGGGCUGUUCGCCCAU